This 372-nucleotide ribosomal RNA is filed under the name uncultured organism. RNAcentral's name for it is "bacterial SSU rRNA". It matches the Rfam family "Bacterial small subunit ribosomal RNA", at positions 526 to 896 of the family's 1533-position model. The record is from RNAcentral.
CAGAGGUCUCAAGCGUUGUUCGGAUUCAUUGGGCGUAAAGGGUGCGUAGGUGGCGCCGUAAGUCAGGUGUGAAAUUUCGGAGCUUAACUCCGAAACUGCAUUUGAUACUGCGGUGCUUGAGGACUGGAGAGGAGACUGGAAUUCACGGUGUAGCAGUGAAAUGCGUAGAUAUCGUGAGGAAGACCAGUGGCGAAGGCGGGUCUCUGGACAGUUCCUGACACUGAGGCACGAAGGCCAGGGGAGCAAACGGGAUUAGAUACCCCGGUAGUCCUGGCAGUAAACGGUGCACGUUUGGUGUGGGAGGAUUCGACCCCUUCUGCGCCGGAGCUAACGCGUUAAACGCGCCGCCUGGGGAGUACGGUCGCAAGAUUA